Episyrphus balteatus (marmalade hoverfly) is the source of this 1046-nucleotide long non-coding RNA. RefSeq lists it as uncharacterized. The transcript has 3 exons. The record is from RefSeq and is a predicted model, not a curated record. NCBI's taxonomy places the organism in Eukaryota, Metazoa, Arthropoda, Insecta, Diptera, Syrphidae.
AAAAAAUCUUUUAAUUUAAAAUCGGCACCGCACUUUUCUUAAGGACUAUCUCAACUACCUUACCGACACUUCCUAUUUAAUUUGUUUAAAUUCGUUUUGUUCACUUUUUGUUUUGAUGGUUUAUUUCCAGCAACGAUUCUUCCGAUGACCCUUGUUCUGUCUCGCAGUUGGAGCUAUUCAAUGGCUCUAAGAGGAACCGGAGUCGUUUUUGGAUUUAGUCAAACAAUGAAGUUUUGUUGUCUUAUGAGAUGAAUCCUAUAAUCCUACAGACGUUCAAAAAAUUUCAAAAGUUUUUCAUUAGAUACACCCCUUCGAGGAAUAUAUAUCACGUGCUUCCUUACCUUUAAAAAAAAUGUAUGCACUUGCCUCAAGAAACCUUAGUUUGCUUUUUUGUUUUGGAGUCAAGGGAAACCUAUAUGGCUCGUGGAUUCAAGACCACCUCGAUCAACAGGAUGGACCAAAAAACGUCGAAGUGUCUUAACUCUCUCCCUGUUGCGUUGAUGGCUUGAAGUUAAGUCUUGACUACUUGUUUUUUCUUUCACGAAUCGUGAAUCAAGGGGAGAUUAUUAGAUUAGAGCUAUAUAGUAUAUAACCCUGGAAGACUAGUUAAAGAAAAUCUCGAGCGGAUUUAAUUUUUUUGAUGCGAACCUACCAAUGUUCGUUCCUUGAUCAAGAUUUCGAUGUGAUUCCUCAAAGGAUCUUAUUUUCAACAAGAAAGAACCUUUCUCCAAGCAAGAAUUUCAAUGAUUAAGAUUUUUGAUCAAUGAAAAAGUUUCUCCGAGGUGAUGGGAAGAUUAUUAGAGAAUUAACUAUUGUCUUAUAGAAAUUCUGGAAUGUAUCAGCGUCGUCGGUCAAAAAAAAAGGAUGUUUGACCACAUGCAAAACUGGAUGCUGGUCGCCGCUGAUAAAAAAAAUGUGAUUUUUAUAUUUCUGAUGGGAUUUUUUUUUUUGUUGAAGUAUGUACUUACUUAACAACUGUAUAAGCGGGAUCGCUUGCGCAGCGUACUCCCUGGACAAUAUAUUUUCGAUUAUCGAUUCCUCGACAA